GUCGAGAAUCUUUCACAAUGGGGGCAACCCUGAUGGAGCGACGCCGCGUGGAGGAUAAGGUCUUCGGAUUGUAAACUCCUGUCAUGCGUGAACAAGGUUGCUUGGUUAAUACCUGGGCAAAUUGAUGGUAACGCAAGAGGAAGAGACGGCUAACUCUGUGCCAGCAGCCGCGGUAAUACAGAGGUCUCAAGCGUGGUUCGGAAUCACUGGGCGUAAAGGGUGCGUAGGUGGCGUGGUAAGUCAGAUGUGAAAGCCCGGGGCUCAACCUCGGAACUGCAUCCGAUACUGCCAUGCUAGAGUACUGGAGAGGUGACUAGAAUUCUCGGUGUAGCAGUGAAAUGCGUAGAUAUCGAGAGGAAUACCAAAGGCGUAGGCAGGUCACUGGACAGUUACUGACACUGAGGCACGAAGGCCAGGGGAGCGAACGGGAUUAGAAACCCCGGUAGUCC
RNAcentral lists this ribosomal RNA (449 nucleotides) under uncultured bacterium. RNAcentral describes it as "bacterial SSU rRNA". It matches the Rfam family "Bacterial small subunit ribosomal RNA", at positions 354 to 796 of the family's 1533-position model. The record is from RNAcentral.